Molecule: long non-coding RNA, 1110 nt
Filed under: Suricata suricatta (meerkat)
Lineage: Eukaryota; Metazoa; Chordata; Mammalia; Carnivora; Herpestidae
Description: lncRNA (ENSSSUG00005012897.1)
Source: RNAcentral
UUGCUCUUGUUGCCAGGGCUGUUGCAGACCUCUGUGUUCCAGGAUCGAAGUGGAGUUAAAGUACAUUCUUCUUUGUCGGGUGUACUCUCUCUUCCAGGGCAUUCCUUUCGCGCUCUGUUGGCUUUACAGGAAGUGGGAGCUGCACCUCGCCUCUGUUCGGGUCGGGACACGCCUUCACUCCCGCUCCCCGCCCGAAGCCAAGCUCCAUUCCUAGACCGGGGGUUCCCCGCUGUGUGAGGGCCGGGCUUCGGGGUUUGGACCCAGAGGGGUGACGCGCGUUCGUGAGUUGCAGCGGAAAGCGAGGACAGUGGGUGGAAAAGGCAAAGGACGCAUUUGACAAAUCUGAUUUAUGUCCUCAGACCAAGUCCCCGCAACAGCAGCUGCAAUUGGGUCAUUCCUGUCCAGUCACAAGGCACAUUGUCCGCCUCCUUUGUUGCGGACUGCUUCAUGUGACUGAGCUCUUGAUAUCGGAUGGCAGCAGAAGCCUGAUGCGCCCUUCUGCACUACGCUUUCAAGGAACUAGUCAUUGUAUGCAUUUCCCACAAGCACAGUGACCUUGGAAGCCACACGUUUAAGAUGGCAGAAACUCUGUCCUACCAAGUCCCUGAAUGACUUGGAGUUCAUGGGGCAGAACCCUUCUAAGCUGGAACACCCCUCUGGACCAUUUCGUUAGAAAUUAAAGCUUCUAUUGUGUUUGAAGGAUUAUAUUUUAAGGUCUAUGUUUUAAAAUGAGUAAGUCUACUUUAAUUAGUUAUGAUCUUAAAAAAUUAGAUACUUUAUUUUUCCCCUGGAAGUAGCCUUGAUGUUAUUUAUUUGCUAAUUUAUAAAGCUUUUGUUCUUCUGAAAUAAACCUUUUUUUGGAUAUACUUGGUUUUAAAUCCUGGCUCCACCACUUAGGAGCUAUGUAAUCAGGAUAAUUACCUCUGAGCUUCAGUUCUUUUCUGAGCUUUACAGUUCCAUCUGUAAAAUGGGAUGAUACCUUCUUCAUAGCCUGUUAUGAGACUUAGUGAGAUAAUGCUUAUAAAACACUGCCUGGAACAUAGGAAGACUUCAAUAAACAGUAGCAGUUUUUAUUGUAAUAAGAAUAAUUUUUAUUUAAAGUUUAUUUAU